GAGCAUCCUUACCCGUCUGGAAUAAUAAAAUGUUUAAUUUAUAUUAUUACAUGUGUUCAGUGUUUUUAAUUUUACGAUAAAUAAUAUCAGCUUAAUAUGUGCAAUAAAUACACAAACAGGUUUCCAUAGUUGGUAUUGAACAACUUUUAAUAUUUGAGUAUUUCCCUUAUGGCCAGCUAUAGUUUAGGUUGGUUACGGAUUGUUUUUCAUGGUUCAUCGGUUCGUUUCUUAAUUAUUGGUCACAUGACAGUUCUUGGUCAGUGUAAGAUUCAGUUUGAAUUUAGAAAUUGAAUUGGACAGUUGUGUCAUACUUUAGUUGAAAACUUUGGACAUUUGGACUUACAGACUACAAUCUACUAAUCAGAUAUACACCAGAUCUACACAUUACUAUAGAUCCAUCCGGAUUCUAAUACCACAUAUUUGGUAAGAGUGUGUUAUGUAUUGUUUAGGUGGUGUUUGAUAUGUUUGUCUUGCCAUUAUAUGUUCUGGACAGGUUCUUAGUUUAAAUGCAGAAUAUUAAGUAAAUUGGAUUAAUUAUGAUUUUAUAUUAAUGAUGUGAUCUGAUGAAGAAAAGACAAUUCUAUUUAUGUGAUUAAUGAAGAUUAAUAUGGAAUUAUUUCUUUGUCAUGUCUGUCCGUGAUUUUAUGUCGUGUAAUAUGUAAUGUGUGCAUGUUUAAUAUUUGUUAUUACUUGUUGUAGAAUCUUUUGGAUGAUAUUUAUUGGAUAACAUUUGGAUGAUCUGUGAAUGAUGUUAUUCUGAGCGAUUGUGAUAAAUAAACCUUGUGACCGGUA
This is a long non-coding RNA of Ostrea edulis (European flat oyster), 792 nucleotides long. RefSeq lists it as uncharacterized. NCBI's taxonomy places the organism in Eukaryota, Metazoa, Mollusca, Bivalvia, Ostreida, Ostreidae. The transcript has 2 exons. The record is from RefSeq and is a predicted model, not a curated record.